This 379-nucleotide ribosomal RNA is filed under the name uncultured Neisseria sp. RNAcentral describes it as "bacterial SSU rRNA". It matches the Rfam family "Bacterial small subunit ribosomal RNA", at positions 524 to 902 of the family's 1533-position model. Lineage: Bacteria; Pseudomonadati; Pseudomonadota; Betaproteobacteria; Neisseriales; Neisseriaceae. The record is from RNAcentral.
UACGUAGGGUGCGAGCGUUAAUCGGAAUUACUGGGCGUAAAGCGGGCGCAGACGGUUACUUAAGCAGGAUGUGAAAUCCCCGGGCUCAACCUGGGAACUGCGUUCUGAACUGGGUGACUAGAGUGUGUCAGAGGGAGGUAGAAUUCCACGUGUAGCAGUGAAAUGCGUAGAGAUGUGGAGGAAUACCGAUGGCGAAGGCAGCCUCCUGGGAUAACACUGACGUUCAUGCCCGAAAGCGUGGGUAGCAAACAGGAUUAGAUACCCUGGUAGUCCACGCCCUAAACGAUGUCGAUUAGCUGUUGGGCAGCUUGACUGCUUAGUAGCGAAGCUAACGCGUGAAAUCGACCGCCUGGGGAGUACGGUCGCAAGAUUAAAACUC